This is a long non-coding RNA of Xiphophorus couchianus (Monterrey platyfish), 1487 nucleotides long. RefSeq lists it as uncharacterized. The transcript is spliced from 2 exons. NCBI's taxonomy places the organism in Eukaryota, Metazoa, Chordata, Actinopteri, Cyprinodontiformes, Poeciliidae. The record is from RefSeq and is a predicted model, not a curated record.
AGUCUUUAGAAGAGUUUCUGAGAGUCUAAGAGUUUCUCCCAGUGUUUUAUCAGCCUGGCGUGUCACCAUGCUUUAUUUGUCCCCCAACGAGGCUUUUCCCCCCACCAGGCUAUGGGUUGUUAUUUUAAAUAGGGAUUUUUCUCCUCUAGUGACAGUAAAGACAGACUAAAGUCAAGGUUUAUAGUUGAGACAUUUAAUUGACUGAGGAGUUGUGAACCAAUUGUGCCGUCCUAUCAGUUGCCCGGCUGGCUUGGCUUCACAUGCUGUUAUUUCUUAGUUUUGAUACCUGAUCCUGCACCUCCAACUUUCUGUAACUUGACAUGUUUAACCCAAACAUGCAGCAGACCGCUGAUGGACGACCCCAGCAGCUCUUCCACCAGGCUCAGCAGGUUUUCUGAAGGAAACCCUGGAAGCUUUCCCAGGGAGAGUUUCAUCAGGUGUCCCACAGCAGCUUGAUGGAAUCAGACUCCGGUACCAUCAGUAAUGAGCUGAACGUGUCGGCAGUGUGUUGCUACGACUUGCUCAUCUGAGGCGCCAUUGGUGGGGGAGAUUUGAGAUCAAAUAGCCUGAAAACGGCCUCACCUGUUGAAUUUGAGUCGCUAUGUCACACUGAGCCGAUGAACGCUGGAAGAGAGGAGACACAGUGAGCUUCUCCUGCUGGGCAGAUCUGAGACAAGAAGAUGAGGAUUUAACUAUACUGUCCUGAUGAGAAGCUGCUUUUAGACCUAGAUGAACUCCAUCCAUCCAUGUCUGGUUCCCUUCAUUCUUCCGUCCUGGUUCCAUCCAUCCAUCCAUCCAGAUUCUUUACAGGGGUGUUCUCACAAUCUGUUAAAAUAAAACUGAAUAAAACCAGAAAAUCCUGGGGGUUUGUCUUUGAAUGUGGAGAUUCGACAUGAAGAUUCCUUUGAGAUGACAGAAAAAGACACAAUAUUAAACAUCGGGGACAAUGUUAUCUCCGAUGUUUAAAGUUGUCCAGGAUGUUUAACGUUGUCCCCAAUUUUUCAUUUUAUCUUCAGUGCUUAACAUUGUCCUUGAUGUUUAAGGUUAUAUAAGGUUAAAUUGUCAUUAUUGUUAUGUUUACGGUUUAUGUUUUACUUUAUCUCAAUGUUAAACGCAAAACAUGAGACUUUUCUGGAGAUGAAAUUUGACAUCUGAUAAACAUUGGAAUAAUGUUAAACAUCAAGCAUAACGUUAAGCACGUUAUUCUUUAAAUAAAAAUUCGCGGACAAUGUUAAACAUCCUGGAUAUUAAAUGCUUAACAUCUGAGCUAAAGUUAAACAUACCGGAUGGCAUUAAACAGCCACGAUAAUGCUGAAUGUUAAACAUCAGACCCCACCUCAAACCAUAAAGAAAAGUGAAAAGAAUAAAGCUGCUUUUGAAAGGAAGACACGAGGUCCUGUUGGCUGUUUGUUAAAAGCCAUGUAAAACACAGCAUUCAUGUGGAACAAGGUGUUCUGAUCAAAUAAAACCAACAUUGAAAAAUUUGA